GAUGAACGCUAGCGGCAGGCCUAACACAUGCAAGUCGAGGGAGGAGCCUUCGGGCUUCGACCGGCGUACGGGUGCGUAACGCGUAUACAAUCUGCCUUUCACAUAGGGAUAGCCCGAAGAAAUUUGGAUUAAUACCUAAUGGUAUAUAGAUGUGGCAUCACCUUUAUAUUAAAGCUGAGGCGGUGAAAGAUGAGUAUGCGUUCUAUUAGCUAGUUGGAGAGGUAACGGCUCCCCAAGGCGACGAUAGAUAGGGGUUCUGAGAGGGAUAUCCCCCACACUGGUACUGAGAUACGGACCAGACUCCUACGGGAGGCAGCAGUGAGGAAUAUUGGACAAUGGUCGGAAGACUGAUCCAGCCAUGCCGCGUGCAGGAAGACGGCCUUAUGGGUUGUAAACUGCUUUUGCAGGGGAAGAAUAAGGACUACGCGUAGUUUGAUGACGGUACUCUGCGAAUAAGCAUCGGCUAACUCCGUG
Molecule: ribosomal RNA, 474 nt
Filed under: uncultured bacterium
Lineage: Bacteria
Description: partial 16S ribosomal RNA
Rfam family: Bacterial small subunit ribosomal RNA
Source: RNAcentral